This 253-nucleotide ribosomal RNA is filed under the name uncultured bacterium. RNAcentral describes it as "partial 16S ribosomal RNA". It matches the Rfam family "Bacterial small subunit ribosomal RNA", at positions 524 to 776 of the family's 1533-position model. The record is from RNAcentral.
UACGUAGGGUGCGAGCGUUGUCCGGAAUUAUUGGGCGUAAAGAGCUUGUAGGCGGUUUGUCGCGUCUGCCGUGAAAAUCCGGGGCUCAACCCCGGACUUGCGGUGGGUACGGGCAGACUAGAGUGUGGUAGGGGAGACUGGAAUUCCUGGUGUAGCGGUGAAAUGCGCAGAUAUCAGGAGGAACACCGAUGGCGAAGGCAGGUCUCUGGGCCACUACUGACGCUGAGAAGUGAAAGCAUGGGGAGCGAACAGG